ACAACCGAGGUGCAAAGGCUGUCGCUGACCCUCAAAGGUUGUGCACGCCCGAGCGCUCUCACACAAUCCAUCUCACCUUUGUGCAUCACCGCGUGGGUCCCCUUUGCGGGAGGGCUCGCGUUUUCACAUAAUAACUCGAUACAGUGUAGAAUGUUUCUUUUGCGGUCACACGCAAUCAAUACAACUUUCAACAACGGAUCUCUUGGCUCUCGCAUCGAUGAAGAACGCAGCGAAAUGCGAUACGUAAUGUGAAUUGCAGAAUUCAGUGAAUCAUCGAAUCUUUGAACGCACCUUGCGCCCCUUGGCAUUCCGAGGGGCACACCCGUUUGAGUGUCGUGAAUUCUUCAAAACCCUUUUUUCUUCGAACCAUCGUGGUCGGGAAAAGGAUUUUUGGACUUGGAGGUUUAAUGCUCGCCCUUUCUUUUGAAAGCGAGCUCCUCUCAAAUGAAUUAGUGGGGUCCGCUUUGCUGAUCCUUGACGUGAUAAAAUGUUUCUACGUUUUGGGUUUAGCACUGUCGCUUGGAUGCCUGCUCCUAACCCGUCUCAUUGACAAUGAUGGUGCUCUGGUCACUGCCGUCUACAUCGGCGGGAGGCUGGACCCACAAAAAGAAAGACCUUGA
Molecule: ribosomal RNA, 620 nt
Filed under: uncultured Russula
Lineage: Eukaryota; Fungi; Basidiomycota; Agaricomycetes; Russulales; Russulaceae
Description: eukaryotic LSU rRNA
Rfam family: 5.8S ribosomal RNA (bases 183-336)
Source: RNAcentral